GAUGAAGAGCGCAGCGAAAUGCGAUAAGUAGUGUGAAUUGCAGAAUUCAGUGAAUCAUCGAAUCUUUGAACGCACAUUGCGCCCCUUGGUAUUCCAUGGGGCAUGCCUGUUCGAGCGUCAUUUGUACCUUCAAGCUUUGCUUGGUGUUGGGUGUUUGUCUCGCCUUUGCGUGUAGACUCGCCUUAAAAUAAUUGGCAGCCGGCGUAUUGAUUUCGGAGCGCAGUACAUCUCGCGCUUUGCACUCAUAACGACAGCGUCCAAAAGUACAUUUUACACUCUUGACCUCGGAUCAGGUAGGGAUACCCGCUGAACUUAAGCAUAUCAAUAAGCGGAGGA
Molecule: unclassified non-coding RNA, 336 nt
Filed under: soil metagenome
Description: partial contains 5.8S ribosomal RNA, internal transcribed spacer 2, and large subunit ribosomal RNA
Rfam family: 5.8S ribosomal RNA (bases 1-120)
Source: RNAcentral